AGAUAAAAGUCUGUUAUUUAAGAGGAAGGC
Molecule: non-coding RNA, 30 nt
Filed under: Rattus norvegicus (Norway rat)
Lineage: Eukaryota; Metazoa; Chordata; Mammalia; Rodentia; Muridae
Source: RNAcentral